Molecule: ribosomal RNA, 253 nt
Filed under: uncultured bacterium
Lineage: Bacteria
Description: partial 16S ribosomal RNA
Rfam family: Bacterial small subunit ribosomal RNA
Source: RNAcentral
UACAGAGGGUGCGAGCGUUGUCCGGAAUCACUGGGCGUAAAGGGCGCGUAGGUGGCGCUCCAAGUCUGUGGUGAAAGCUCGACGCUCAACGUCGAGUCGGCCAUAGAGACUGGAGGGCUCGAGCACUGUAGGGGCAGAUGGAAUUCCGGGUGUAGCGGUGGAAUGCGUAGAGAUCCGGAAGAACACCGGUGGCGAAGGCGGUCUGCUGGGCAGUUUCUGACACUGAGGCGCGACAGCGUGGGGAGCAAACAGG